RNAcentral lists this ribosomal RNA (846 nucleotides) under Xerocrassa penchinati. Its description in RNAcentral is "partial 16S ribosomal RNA". Lineage: Eukaryota; Metazoa; Mollusca; Gastropoda; Stylommatophora; Geomitridae. The record is from RNAcentral.
GUGGGUUGAUUAUGGUUCACGAAGGAAAUCGAGCUAACUAAUAAAUAAUUGUAGUUAUUGAAUCUAUGUGUUGCAGUACAUAGGACAUAUUGUUAGUUAGGGGUGAUAGGCCUUACAAGAUUUCCGAUAUCUUGUUUUUUAGGAAACAUAUUAAGUAUAUUGUCAACUUUGAAGUGCUAAGGUUUCAGAGAGGUACUAAAAUUUGUUAUUGGACUUGUAAUUUAUUUAACGGUAAUUGCUUAAGCACAUAAUAAUAUUAAUUAAUAUAUAGUUGUACAUAAUACUAAAAUGUGCAUUGUACUUCAUGUUGCACUAUUACUGUUAAUAUAAGUAUAUAAGCAUAACCUUAAUAGGAACUCGGCAAAAUUGUUGUUCAUCUGUUUAUCAAAAACAUAGCUAAAUGUAUUACAUAUUUAGUUUCUUCUGCUCAAUGGUUUAACUAAAUAGCCGCAGUACCCUGACUGUGCAAAGGUAGCAUAAUCAUUUGGCCUAUAAUUGAAGUCUGGCAUGAAAGAAUCAAUGGGUAACUACUGUCUUUUAAGGUUUAAAGAAAUUAUUUAGUAGGUGAAAAUACCUAUCUAUAAACAAUAGACGAGAAGACCCUAGAAAUUUUAUAUAAGAUAAUAUAGGCUGUUGUUAUUAUUUUGUUGGGGCGACAGAAUAACAAAUAACUUAUUUUAUUUAUUAGAACUAUGUUUUGGGCUAAAUUAAAUUACUCUAGGGAUAACAGCAUAAUUUAUUAGAGUUUGUGACCUCGAUGUUGGACUAGGGUUUAUAUUGUUUAGAAGAUAAUAUAAUCAGCUCUGUUCGAGCUUUAGUCCCUACAUGAUCUGAGUUCAGACCGGC